GUCCGCGGGGUCCUAGCGCCGGAAGAUCAGCUGGUCACAGUCCGAUGGGUCCUAGUGCCGACGGUUGAACUCCUGCAGCUGUACAGAAACAGUUAAAGUUUAAAUUUGUCCGAAAGGAGGAAGAUUUGAGUGAAUGUCCAGGAGAACAAAGUGAAGUGAAGCUGUUGGACUUACAGGAGUUACUGAUUUCAUUAUGUGAAGCAUUUCCAGCUGGAACAGCACCAGUCUAAGAUCCACACUGAUGAACACAUCACGCAGACCGGAGCAGCUGGGAAUUGAACCACCAACCUUCUCAUUAGCCGAUGACCUUCAGAGUGAUGAGGAGGCUGUAAUCUUCCUCAGAGUAACACAUGAAACAUUCUGAACUUCCUUUGUGUUUUCUGUAAGUUUCUCUGAUCAGAGUUUGGCGAAAUUAUCAGGUCGAAGCUGAUGUGGUAAAACCUGCAGUUCCUCUGGUGGCCACCAGAUGCUGCUGUCGUAUACUGUCACGUAAAAAUGUUGAACUUUACCGCAGAAAUAAGCACGUUUACAGAAACCGUUUGGGUCUCUGUGGAUCAUUUCCUCCUUUAUAAUUGCAGCAUGGCAGGUGAUUGUUUUUAUAACGCUUCUUUUUUAACUUGAUUGAGGCUUCAGGUUUGGCGUGUGGCUCCUUUGGUUAGAGCUGGAGCUGGUAGCCUCGGCCUUGGCUCUCCGGAGUCAUUGAACUUGACCUGCGGGCCGAGUUUGUGCUGCUGUGCUGCGUCCUUGAAGUCUGUCCUCCAAGUUUGGGUGAAUUAAAGUCUAAGAUUUUGUUAGCCUGUUAUUUAGCUCUCAGUAUUAGAGGGUGCAGUGUCGGUGUGAUGCAUUAGCUUAAAAACCAGUCUUGCUAGGAGCAGCCGAUAACUUCCACUCUCUUGUCCAAAUAUGGUCGCUUCCAGCUCCAAAGAAACCAAGAUGGCUGCACUUAGACUGCAGUAACCAAAGGGUGGCCUCCUCCUCCUGUUAGCGUUCAGGGCUUCUUCUUUGACAAUCUGUGGAUUAAAAACCUUUUUAGGACUGUAAUGGGGGCAUCAACCACUUCAGAAGGAGCCUCCAUCAGCCGGGUGGUGCAUUAGUGAAGUCGUCUGGAGGCACGUGGGUCCCAUGUUUUGUUAAUAACAAGUCUCUCAUGAAAACCACUAAGUGGCAGAGCUGCCUGGUAAGUUUGCCUGUUGCUAUGGAUUCCAGCAUGGCGCUCUGGUUUUAAAAAGCAGAUCAGAUGAUGAGAGCUGAGGAGCAGCUGAAGCUGUUUUCAACAGCUGACCUCUGUCAGCCUCUGUGGGCUGAUUUGUUUGUGAGGAAUAAUCAGCAGGACCUGAUGACACCGCCGCCUCCUCGGACCAAUCCCUGACUCAGACCGUCUCCAGGACUGCUCGCCAGAUCGCACUCCCAGUGGUUUGUGGAUGGUUUGGAGGCAGUUUGAACAUGAAGCAGGAAACAAGCUGAAUACUGAAGACGGGCGACGUUAACAGUUAAAAGUUAAAAGUUAAAACCAGUUUAUUCUGUUUCUUGUGUUUUCAACAUUAGUAUUAAUAUAAAUACUCUGCUCCGUCUGAAUAAAGUAUUUACCAGAUGAAAAACUGCAGCGCAGGCAGACAGAUGUCGACUUGUUUCCAUGAACAAUACAGCUUCAUUCAAAGAAACACAGAUGAGACUGUAACACAGAAAGAAAAUGUUGAGUCUGCUUUCUAUAAAUAAAGUUACAUUUGAGCAUUAAACA
Oreochromis aureus is the source of this 1738-nucleotide long non-coding RNA. RefSeq lists it as uncharacterized. Lineage: Eukaryota; Metazoa; Chordata; Actinopteri; Cichliformes; Cichlidae. The record is from RefSeq and is a predicted model, not a curated record. The transcript is spliced from 3 exons.